ACCAGCCACCUUAUAUCUCUCUCCCCGACCUCCCGAACCCGUCCGACCCUCCUCGACGGAACGCCUCCGUCUGGCCACGCCCGGUUGCCGCACCAGUCCCAACCGACAACUGGGACACCGCACGGACUUUCUGGGCAAAAGCCGACCCUAACUCGCCGGCGUUGAGGCGCGGGGACGCCGCUGCUGCCGUGCGCUUAGCCUUGCCGGAACUUCCUUCUCCGGCUACCGAAUCCAGCAAUCUUUGGGGGGUUUUGCAACUCUUUGAUUGGUCUUUCAACCACCCAAAAGAGGUAGAACGAUUUGGGGUAUAGGGCAAAUCGGUAUUGUUGGUGUUCUUGAGCUUGGAGGUAAUUUCUGGCCAAGUUUUUGAGUUCUAGGGUUUGUGCUAGUUUGAUUGUUGUUAUGCUUGUUGAGAAGAAGAGUUUGAUAUAUACUUUGUUGAUUUUGGUCUGAGUUGAGGUAGUGAUGGUGGUUGACUGCCACUGUCGGCAGUUGAUCGCCACUGUCGGUGGCUGCUGCCGGUUUUGUUGGUGGUUUUGAGUAAUUUUGUAUGAUUUCUAGAAGGGAUAAAUGUUGUUGUAUUGUAUGGUGAUUUUUGGUGAAGAGUGCUUGGAAAUUGGGAUAGUUUUGAUGGCUCCAUGGGUGAGAGAUGAAUGGUAGUGAAGUAUUGGAAAUUUUGGUGAGUGUUAGUAGGAAUUUAGGAAAGUUUAAGUCGAUUUUGGUGAAAGAGUAGAUGUGAGCCUCAUCCUUGGGAAUUUUCAUAUUUUUCAUUAUGUGUUAGAACGUUGGGGAGGAAUUGGAGUUGAUUAAUAAAAAUAAGGUUGGAGUUCUUCUUAGGUUUGGAUGCGUAUAGAGCAAGUGAGGAGGACUUUAUAUUUGUUAAAUUUGAUAUUCUUGUAUUUUUUGUCUCGAACCUUAAAUCUCGUUUUGUACAGGACGAGAGGAGACACCACGUGAGGAGGGCUCUGACCGACGUCAGGCAUAGCCGUCUAUAUUGUGAGUGGACACUUUGUUUUUAAUGGAAUAUGCAUGCAUGAUUGGAGAUUUGAAAUAUGUGGAUUAUUUGGCUUAAUUAUUACUUUGAGCAUCUUAACGUGUGGGACACGUUAUUAAAUUAAAUUUAUUUCUUUUCUCAUGGAAUUUUCCGAGUACGGUUGGGAAUCGUACUUAUGUUUUAAAGAUGAGUUUCGGGAAAACUCCCAUGAAAUUAUAUUUUUCUUUCUUAUGCUAUAUUUGUGUGAUUAUAUGAUGUCCAUGCUAGUAUGUCGUUCCACAUUUCGAGGUGAUGUGACUUCCACGUUUCAAGUGGCAUCACGCAAGCCCUGUACCCUAUCCGUCAACUCGACGUGACGGUACAGGGAGUAUGGGAGUACUAUGCCUGGGAGGCAAUCGAGUCUGGGAGACUCACUUAUAUGGCCAUAUAGGAUAUUUUACUUGAGUUGUUAAUUUGACUAGCGGGGCUAGUCCAUCAUCUUGGAAGUUUCUUAUAUGAGGAAUCCGUUUAUUUUUCUUAUUGCUUUAGGACUAGCGGGGCUAGGGUGAAUUUUGUUGAGAUUAUAAUAUUUGCAUGCAUAGAAAUUCUUAAUUACGUAUAAAUGAAAAAGCAUAUAAAAAGUGAUUUUGUAUUAUUUUAUUCUUGGAUGCAUAUUAAUUAGUUUAUUUUCCGUCCACUCACGCUAAUGUUUUUAAAUGCUUUUUCCUGGGCCCUUUGUUUUCAAAUGCCCAGAUUGCAGAGCUCCUGUUCGGUUUUCCUAGGAGUUGAGGCAUAGUUUUCCCGCUGCUCCUUGCUGAUCGUAGGUUACCUGUUAACCUAUGUGUAGUUGUUUUAUUUUCCUCCCUUAGUGCUCUGAGAACCAUGAGAUGAUGUAAAUUAAGUUGAAGUGUUUUUCUUUAGGACUAUGACUCAAGUAGAGAGUUUAAUCUUGGUUGAUGUUCAUGUUAAUUAAUGUAGUUGAGUAUUUGGUUUGGUUGUUAAGUACUACUAUGACUUUGGUUCUUGUUAUGGGGAGUGAAGGACUCCUGGAGUGGUGGUUGAUGAUUAUAGUUGAAGUGUUCAGUUUCAUUACAGGAUGGGUUGUCCAUUUUUAGGGGAGGUUAUGCCGAAAUUUCGGUAUAAUCUCUUUUAAGAGUGGACCCCGCAAGACUUGCCUGUUUUACUGGGUGUUUUCGGGGUGGGUCUUGUCAUGUUUAGUUUGUUUUGGUAGAGUUUUGUCGUCCCUCCUCUUUGAGAGAGGGUUUAAGUCUUUUUUUGAGCGAGGGUUUUAAGUUUUUGGUAGGUUAGUGUCGUUUGGUUGUGUCGUUGAGUGUGUCAUGGUUAUGAUGUCGUUUUCAAGGAUUAUUAGUUUUGAUUUCGGUUAGUUUUUGUUGUCAAUAUAAUGGGGAGGUUGCCUACAUGCUAUAUGCUGGCAGUUUUGGUGUAUCUUGCUUGAGGAAAUUGUUUUUUCUUGAGGUUGGUUGUGAACCUGUAAGGAUGGAUCGAUGCUUCUGGAACAAAUUAGGUUACAGCUGAACCCUAUUGGUUCUUGUCCAUUGUAAUGUUGGUGUUUAGGUAGGGAGGCGAGUUGGGAGUUUGUAUUCACCACUGUUAUCUCUCAUGGUUUGUAUUUUUUGAUUCUAUUUGAUAAAAUAUUUAAUUUUCUCAAAAGAAAAAAAAAAGUUACAAGCCAGAAGCCUAAGAAUGAAAAUGAAAACCUUACGGGAAGGGAAAGAGAAGGGAAAUCAUUUCCAGAUAACUUUAUGUUUUGAUGUUUGGUAAUAAAAGGAAAAUCAUCCGGAAA
Molecule: long non-coding RNA, 2777 nt
Filed under: Fragaria vesca (wild strawberry)
Lineage: Eukaryota; Viridiplantae; Streptophyta; Magnoliopsida; Rosales; Rosaceae
Description: long non-coding RNA (FVES_LNC000664)
Source: RNAcentral